Molecule: ribosomal RNA, 253 nt
Filed under: uncultured bacterium
Lineage: Bacteria
Description: partial 16S ribosomal RNA
Rfam family: Bacterial small subunit ribosomal RNA
Source: RNAcentral
UACGUAGGGUGCGAGCGUUAAUCGGAAUUACUGGGCGUAAAGCGUGCGCAGGCGGUUUUGUAAGCCAGGUGUGAAAGCCCCGGGCUUAACCUGGGAAUGUCAUUUGGGACUGCAAGGCUUGAGUGCGGCAGAGGAGACUGGAAUUCCUGGUGUAGCAGUGAAAUGCGUAGAUAUCAAGAGGAACACCUGAGGCGAAGGCGGGUUGCUAGGCUGACACUGACGCUGAGGAGCGAAAGCGUGGGGAGCGAACAGG